RNAcentral lists this transfer RNA (56 nucleotides) under Oscheius myriophilus. Its description in RNAcentral is "tRNA-Cys". Lineage: Eukaryota; Metazoa; Nematoda; Chromadorea; Rhabditida; Rhabditidae. The record is from RNAcentral. RNAcentral also lists the same sequence under 1 other name.
GAAAUCUUAGUAUAAUUUUAGUAUUUUUAAUUGCAAAUUAAAAGGUAUAGAUUUUU